This 747-nucleotide ribosomal RNA is filed under the name uncultured bacterium. Its description in RNAcentral is "bacterial SSU rRNA". It matches the Rfam family "Bacterial small subunit ribosomal RNA", at positions 717 to 1469 of the family's 1533-position model. The record is from RNAcentral.
GAAGGCAGCCCCUGGGAUAAUAUUGACGCUCAUGCACGAAAGCGUGGGGAGCAAACAGGAUUAGAUCCCUUGGUAGUCCACGCCUUAAACGAUGUCUACUAGUUGUUGGUGGAGUAAAAUCCAUGAGUAACGCAGCUAACGCGUGAAGUAGACCGCCUGGGGAGUACGGUCGCAAGAUUAAAACUCAAAGGAAUUGACGGGGGCCCGCACAAGCGGUGGAUUAUGUGGAUUAAUUCGAUGCAACGCGAAAAACCUUACCUGGCCUUGACAUGCCACUAACGAAGCAGAGAUGCAUUAGGUGCUCGAAAGAGAAAGUGGACACAGGUGCUGCAUGGCCGUCGUCAGCUCGUGUCGUGAGAUGUUGGGUUAAGUCCCGCAACGAGCGCAACCCUUGUCAUUAGUUGCUACGAAAGGGCACUCUAAUGAGACUGCCGGUGACAAACCGGAGGAAGGUGGGGAUGACGUCAGGUCAUCAUGGCCCUUAUGGGUAGGGCUACACACGUCAUACAAUGGCCGGGACAGAGGGCUGCCAACCCGCGAGGGGAGCUAAUCCCAGAAACCCGGUCGUAGUCCGGAUCGCAGUCUGCAACUCGACUGCGUGAAGUCGGAAUCGCUAGUAAUCGCGGAUCAGCUUGCCGCGGUGAAUACGUUCCCGGGUCUUGUACACACCGCCCGUCACACCAUGGGAGCGGGUUCUGCCAGAAGUAGUUAGCCUAACCGCAAGGGGGGCGAUACCACGGCAGGUUC